Molecule: non-coding RNA, 105 nt
Organism: Ruminococcus callidus ATCC 27760
Lineage: Bacteria; Bacillati; Bacillota; Clostridia; Eubacteriales; Oscillospiraceae
Source: Rfam
UCCAGAGUAGGAAAUCGUGCGUUAAGUGUCCGUCAGACGGGGAGUUGCUGUCGGGACGAAAAGCGAGAACGAUCGCUUGCGGUACGGUUUCCGCAUCCCGCUGAA